CCGGUCGGCACGCACCAAUUCGCUCAGGCAACCAAAAAGAGUACUGCAGUACUGAAGGCAGGGAGCCAGUCCGCAUGCACCAAUUAGCUCAGGCAACCAAAAAGAGUACUGCAGCACUGAAGGCGGGGAGCCAGUCGGCACGCACCAAUUAGCUCAGGCAACCAAAAAGAGUACUGCAGUACUGAAGGGGGGGAGCCGGUCGGCACGCACCAAUUCGCUCAGGCAACCAAAAAGAGUACUGCAGCACUGAAGGCGGGGAGCCGGUCGGCACGCACCAAUUAGCUCAGGCAACCAAAAAGAGUACUGCAGUACUGAAGGCGGGGAGCCAGUCGGCACGCACCAAUUAGCUCAGACAACCAAAAAGAGUACUGCAGCACUGAAGGGGGGGAGCCAGUCGGCACGCAGCAAUUAGCUCAAACAACCAAAAAGAGUACUGCAGUACUGAAAGCGGGGAGCCGGUCGGCAUGCACCAAUUAGCUCAGGCAACCAAAUAGAGUACUGCAGUACUGAAGGCGGGGAGCCGGUCGGCACGCACCAAUUAGCUCAGACAACCAAAAAGAGUACUGCAGUACUGAAAGCGGGG
Molecule: long non-coding RNA, 583 nt
Organism: Brienomyrus brachyistius
Lineage: Eukaryota; Metazoa; Chordata; Actinopteri; Osteoglossiformes; Mormyridae
Exons: 2
Source: RefSeq, a predicted model, not a curated record